CAUGCAAGUUCGAGCGAACUGAUUAGAAGCUUGCUUYUAUGACGUUAGCGGCGGACGGGUGAGUAACACGUGGGCAACCUGCCUGUAAGACUGGGAUAACUUCGGGAAACCGAAGCUAAUACCGGAUAGGAUCUUCUCCUUCAUGGGAGAUGAUUGAAAGAUGGUUUCGGCUAUCACUUACAGAUGGGCCCGCGGUGCAUUAGCUAGUUGGUGAGGUAACGGCUCACCAAGGCAACGAUGCAUAGCCGACCUGAGAGGGUGAUCGGCCACACUGGGACUGAGACACGGCCCAGACUCCUACGGGAGGCAGCAGUAGGGAAUCUUCCGCAAUGGACGAAAGUCUGACGGAGCAACGCCGCGUGAGUGAUGAAGGCUUUCGGGUCGUAAAACUCUGUUGUUAGGGAAGAACAAGUACAAGAGUAACUGCUYGUACCUUGACGGUACCUAACCAGAAAGCCACGGCUAACUACGUGCCAGCAGCCGCGGUAAUACGUAGGUGGCAAGCGUUAUCCGGAAUUAUUGGGCGUAAAGCGCGCGCAGGCGGUUUCUUAAGUCUGAUGUGAAAGCCCACGGCUCAACCGUGGAGGGUCAUUGGAAACUGGGGAACUUGAGUGCAGAAGAGAAAAGCGGAAUUCCACGUGUAGCGGUGAAAUSCGUAGAGAUGUGGAGGAACACCAGUGGCGAAGGCGGCUUUUUGGUCUGUAACUGACGCUGAGGCGCGAAAA
This 725-nucleotide ribosomal RNA is filed under the name Priestia megaterium. Its description in RNAcentral is "bacterial SSU rRNA". The record is from RNAcentral. Lineage: Bacteria; Bacillati; Bacillota; Bacilli; Caryophanales; Bacillaceae.